CUUUCCGUAGGGUUGGACCUGCGGAAGGAUCAUUA
RNAcentral lists this ribosomal RNA (35 nucleotides) under Gymnosporangium przewalskii. RNAcentral's name for it is "partial 18S ribosomal RNA". The record is from RNAcentral. Lineage: Eukaryota; Fungi; Basidiomycota; Pucciniomycetes; Pucciniales; Gymnosporangiaceae.